Unclassified non-coding RNA from Anser brachyrhynchus (Pink-footed goose), 166 nucleotides. The record is from Ensembl. NCBI's taxonomy places the organism in Eukaryota, Metazoa, Chordata, Aves, Anseriformes, Anatidae.
UGACAAGCGCAGGAAUGAAGUUGUCUAUUCCUAGAACAGGUUCAGUGGGCAGCAGCACUGAUUGUUUCCCAUGUUGCCCUGCCAGCAUUUCUCAAACCUGACCUCGGGGGGCUGCUCCUGAGAGUGAGGAGUUCAACCACCAGUCCAGAGUCCUCUUCUCUCUACU